CAAAAGAUAGUUUAAAAUAAAAAAUUUUAAUUUUGGAGAUUAAGGAUAUAUAAUAUUAAUAUUUUUUUGA
This 70-nucleotide transfer RNA is filed under the name Orancistrocerus aterrimus. RNAcentral's name for it is "tRNA-Pro". Lineage: Eukaryota; Metazoa; Arthropoda; Insecta; Hymenoptera; Vespidae. The record is from RNAcentral.